GAUUAUUUUCCAAUUUUUCCAGGGAUACUUUGAUUUCUGCUCUCUAGACUCCCCCUCACGGCUCUAGUGCUCCACCCCUAGAAUAUAGACCUUACUGGGGUUUGGUGACACUUUGUGUUGCUUCUUCAGUCACCUGCUCACGACUCACCCCCCUAAAAUUUCUGGCACCACCCCAGUAAAAAAUAUGAAAAUCCGUCUAUGCCAAUGAGUA
This is a non-coding RNA of Paramuricea clavata, 211 nucleotides long. The record is from the annotation of a GenBank genome assembly. Lineage: Eukaryota; Metazoa; Cnidaria; Anthozoa; Malacalcyonacea; Plexauridae.